ACGACAGGCAGGGGCAGCCGGUAGAGAUCGAAAGGACAGCUUUUGUGGACUUUGUGGAGAAAGAGAAAGAGCCGAACAAUGAAAAAACCAAUAAUGGGAUUCAUUACAAACUUCAGCUGUUGUACAGUAACGGAGUCAGAACCGAGCAGGAUCUCUACGUUCGUCUCAUAGACUCGAUGACCAAACAGGUGAGAAAGUUUCCGCCUUACACUGGGGCU
Long non-coding RNA from Gracilinanus agilis (Agile Gracile Mouse Opossum), 218 nucleotides. RefSeq lists it as uncharacterized. The record is from RefSeq and is a predicted model, not a curated record. Lineage: Eukaryota; Metazoa; Chordata; Mammalia; Didelphimorphia; Didelphidae. The transcript is spliced from 3 exons.